UCUCGACUAGUAUAUCGGUUAGUACACGCGCCUGUCAUAAAAAAGGCUAAGACCUGUGCGCGCGAAAGCUGGGUUCGACUCCCAGGUCGAGAG
Molecule: non-coding RNA, 93 nt
Organism: Mycena amicta
Lineage: Eukaryota; Fungi; Basidiomycota; Agaricomycetes; Agaricales; Mycenaceae
Source: the annotation of a GenBank genome assembly